UAGUGAGCUGUGAUUGCGAAGGUAAAUCGUGUGAAGUGUUUGUACUUAUUAUUUGGUGAAUCAUGAAUUAUAGGCAACUCAUUGAAGUAUUUAGAGCUCACGAGCCACUCCAAAUGUAAUGACAAGCCUAGAGGAGUUUGAAAAAGGAUAUACACCAGAGAUAGGGACACUUAUUUAUGGAAUAUCUCCAUUACAUGCAUGGAUGCGAUUUUUCGAGUGCCUUCUUCACAUAUCUUACCGAAUGGAUUUUAAAAAGUGGCAGGUAUCAAAGAUAUUAAAGGAAGCGUACUUGAAGAGAAAACAACUUAUACAGAAAAGGCUUUAUGAUAGCUUUGGUGUGAGAGUCGACCAGCCAAGGCAAGGUGGAGCAGGAUCAAGUACAACUGGAAACAUUUGUCGACGAGCGUUUUCGAAUCCAAAUCUGUUAAGUGAAGCAUUAAAUGUCAACGAAGAGCUAAUUCACCGGUUCUGGAACAUUCUGAUCGCGAUAAACUGCCAAGAGCCAAUCAAUCCUGAAA
Molecule: long non-coding RNA, 518 nt
Organism: Armigeres subalbatus
Lineage: Eukaryota; Metazoa; Arthropoda; Insecta; Diptera; Culicidae
Exons: 3
Source: RefSeq, a predicted model, not a curated record